GAUGAACGCUGGCGGCGUGCCUAAUACAUGCAAGUCGAGCGAACAGACGAGGAGCUUGCUCCUCUGACGUUAGCGGCGGACGGGUGAGUAACACGUGGAUAACCUACCUAUAAGACUGGGAUAACUUCGGGAAACCGGAGCUAAUACCGGAUAAUAUAUUGAACCGCAUGGUUCAAUAGUGAAAGACGGUUUUGCUGUCUCUUAUAGAUGGAUCCGCGCCGCAUUAGCUAGUUGGUAAGGUAACGGCUUACCAAGGCAACGAUGCGUAGCCGACCUGAGAGGGUGAUCGGCCACACUGGAACUGAGACACGGUCCAGACUCCUACGGGAGGCAGCAGUAGGGAGUCUUCCGCAAUGGGCGAAAGCCUGACGGAGCAACGCCGCGUGAGUGAUGAAGGUCUUCGGAUCGUAAAACUCUGUUAUUAGGGAAGAACAAAUGUGUAAGUAACUAUGCACGUCUUGACGGUACCUAAUCAGAAAGCCACGGCUAACUACGUG
Molecule: ribosomal RNA, 497 nt
Filed under: uncultured bacterium
Lineage: Bacteria
Description: partial 16S ribosomal RNA
Rfam family: Bacterial small subunit ribosomal RNA
Source: RNAcentral